RNAcentral lists this unclassified non-coding RNA (18 nucleotides) under Chlamydomonas reinhardtii. RNAcentral's name for it is "small RNA Cre_3323". The record is from RNAcentral. Lineage: Eukaryota; Viridiplantae; Chlorophyta; Chlorophyceae; Chlamydomonadales; Chlamydomonadaceae.
UGGCGGGAGCACUGCGGC